RNAcentral lists this ribosomal RNA (497 nucleotides) under uncultured bacterium. Its description in RNAcentral is "partial 16S ribosomal RNA". It matches the Rfam family "Bacterial small subunit ribosomal RNA", at positions 28 to 507 of the family's 1533-position model. The record is from RNAcentral.
GAUGAACGCUGGCGGCGUGCCUAAUACAUGCAAGUCGAGCGAACAGACGAGGAGCUUGCUCCUCUGCCGUUAGCGGCGGACGGGUGAGUAACACGUGGAUAACCUACCUAUAAGACUGGGAUAACUUCGGGAAACCGGAGCUAAUACCGGAUAAUAUAUUGAACCGCAUGGUUCAAUAGUGAAAGACGGUUUUGCUGUCACUUAUAGAUGGAUCCGCGCCGCAUUAGCUAGUUGGUAAGGUAACGGCUUACCAAGGCGACGAUGCGUAGCCGACCUGAGAGGGUGAUCGGCCACACUGGAACUGAGACACGGUCCAGACUCCUACGGGAGGCAGCAGUAGGGAAUCUUCCGCAAUGGGCGAAAGCCUGACGGAGCAACGCCGCGUGAGUGAUGAAGGUCUUCGGAUCGUAAAACUCUGUUAUUAGGGAAGAACAAAUGUGUAAGUAACUAUGCACGUCUUGACGGUACCUAAUCAGAAAGCCACGGCUAACUACGUG